This is a long non-coding RNA of Corvus hawaiiensis (hawaiian crow), 105 nucleotides long. RefSeq lists it as uncharacterized. The record is from RefSeq and is a predicted model, not a curated record. The transcript is spliced from 3 exons. NCBI's taxonomy places the organism in Eukaryota, Metazoa, Chordata, Aves, Passeriformes, Corvidae.
UGAGGCUGUUUGUGUAUCCCAGAAUGGUUCGAGUUGGAAGGGACAUCAAAGAUUACCUGAUUCCACCCCUUGCCAUAGGCAGGGACACCUUCCACUAUCCCAGGC